UACGUAGGGUGCAAGCGUUGUCCGGAAUUAUUGGGCGUAAAGAGCUCGUAGGCGGUCUGUCACGUCGGCUGUGAAAACCCGAGGCUCAACCUCGGGCCUGCAGUCGAUACGGGCAAACUAGAGUACUGCAGGGGAGACUGGAAUUCCUGGUGUAGCGGUGAAAUGCGCAGAUAUCAGGAGGAACACCGGUGGCGAAGGCGGGUCUCUGGGCAGUAACUGACGCUGAGGCACGAAAGCGUGGGUAGCAAACAGG
RNAcentral lists this ribosomal RNA (253 nucleotides) under uncultured bacterium. RNAcentral's name for it is "partial 16S ribosomal RNA". It matches the Rfam family "Bacterial small subunit ribosomal RNA", at positions 524 to 776 of the family's 1533-position model. The record is from RNAcentral.